This 1518-nucleotide long non-coding RNA is filed under the name Nicotiana benthamiana. RNAcentral describes it as "long non-coding RNA (NBEN_LNC027961)". Lineage: Eukaryota; Viridiplantae; Streptophyta; Magnoliopsida; Solanales; Solanaceae. The record is from RNAcentral.
UUCUUAUUCUUUAAGUGAUAAUAAAAGUACUAUUCCUUUUUCGACUAUUCAGAUGUAUGGGGUCCCACUCAAACAGUUUCCUUGUUUGGUAGUCGAUAGUUUGUUACUUUUAUUGAUUAUUGCACUAGGAUCACUGGGUAUAUUUGUUAAAGGGAAAAAAUGAAGUCUUCUCCUGUUUUCAGUCGUUUCAUAAUAUGAUUUGCCCAAUUUGAGGUUAAGAUAAAAAUCUUGCGAAUUGACAAUGGCACAUAAUAUACGGGUAAAGAUUUUGGUACGUAUUUGGAGUCUUUUGGGAUAAUCCAUCAAACUAGUUGUCCUUAUACUAGUGCACAAAAUGGGGUUGCUGAAAGGAAAAAUAGGCAUUUGCUAGAAGUAGCGAGAUCUCUAAUGUUUACUAUGAAUUUACCAAAACCUUGCUGGGGAUGUCAUUCUAGUAGCUGCCUACGAUCUAUAAUGUCUACUAUGAAUUUACCAAAACCUUACUGUGGGGAUGCCAUUCUAGUACCUUAUAAAUAGAAUGCCACUUAAAACCCUCGAUUUUCAAAGUCCUUCGGAAGCUUUGAAGAGUAAGAAUGAUUAUAUUGUUUCUCUGAAGUUGUUUGCCUGUGUUUGCUUUAUUCACAUUAGGAGUUCGGGAAAACUUGAUCCUAGAGCUAUUAAAUGUGUCUUUAUUGGGUAUUCUCCAACACAGAAAGGGUAUAAGUGCUAUCAUCCUUCUUCUAGGAGAUCCUUAGUUAGCAUGGAUAUUACCUUUCGAGAAUCUGAGCCCUAUUACAAUAAAACACUAUCACCUCUUCAGGGGAGAGCUAUAAGAAUGAAGAGAUGAUUCUCACUGUUGAAAUGAUUCCCGCUAUUGAAGCCACUUAGACAGGAGAAUGUGAAAUUAAAGAAAGAAUUCAGGAGGAGACUAUUGGGCGUUUGGAUAAACCUGAUUUGAUGACUUAUUCAAGAAAAAAGAGAGCUGAAGAAGUUAUCGUGCAAUCUACUAAAGCUCAACCCUCUUCUGUUGUUGAAACUUCUUCUACUGGUGAGUUAUUUACAUUCCCUAAUGAGUUAGAUGUACCUAUUGCUCACAGAAAGAGUCAGAUCUUGCACCAAACAUCCUUUAUCUAACUUUGUCUCCUAUAAUUCCUUAUUUCCUUAUUUCCUUCCUAUAGAGCUUUUGUCUUGUCUAUUUCUUCUGUGUCUAUUCCCCAGAAUUGGAGGGAAGCUUUUGCAGAUUCUAGAUGGAAGCAAGCUAUGAUUGAAGAAAUGAAGGCCUUGUCAAAGAACGAGACUUGGGAUCUCGUCACUUCACCACUAAAUAAGAAAUUAGUUGACUGCAAAUGGGUCUUUACUGUGAAGCACAAAGUUGUUCGAUUGAAAUAUUCAAAGCAAGACUGGUGGCAAAGGGGUUCACUCAAACUUAUGGAGUGGAUUAUCAGGAGACAUUUUCCCAUGUUGCAAAAAUGAACGCUAUUAGAAUACUUUUGUCUUGUGCAGUUAAUCUUGAUUGGGACUUACAACAGUUUGAUGUGA